Molecule: ribosomal RNA, 119 nt
Filed under: Salmo salar (Atlantic salmon)
Lineage: Eukaryota; Metazoa; Chordata; Actinopteri; Salmoniformes; Salmonidae
Source: RNAcentral
GCUUACGGCCAUACCAGCCUGGGUACGCCCGAUCUCGUCUGAUCUCGGAAGCGAAGCAGGGUCGGGCCUGGUUAGUACUUGGAUGGGAGACCGCCUGGGAGUACCAGGUGCUGUAAGGA